This 76-nucleotide transfer RNA is filed under the name Paenibacillus allorhizosphaerae. RNAcentral describes it as "Paenibacillus sp. JJ-447 tRNA-Lys". It matches the Rfam family "tRNA". Rfam says of the family: Transfer RNA (tRNA) molecules are approximately 80 nucleotides in length. Their secondary structure includes four short double-helical elements and three loops (D, anti-codon, and T loops). Lineage: Bacteria; Bacillati; Bacillota; Bacilli; Caryophanales; Paenibacillaceae. The record is from RNAcentral.
UGGGCUUGUAGUUUAACUGGUAAAACACCCGACUCUUAAUCGGCGAGAGUGUAGGUUCGAGUCCUGCCGGGCCCAU